RNAcentral lists this ribosomal RNA (790 nucleotides) under uncultured archaeon. RNAcentral describes it as "bacterial SSU rRNA". It matches the Rfam family "Archaeal small subunit ribosomal RNA", at positions 85 to 878 of the family's 1478-position model. The record is from RNAcentral.
ACUGCUCAGUAACACGUAGUCAACAUGCCCAGGGGACGUGGAUAACCUCGGGAAACUGAGGAUAAACCGCGAUAGGCCAAGAUUUCUGGAAUGAAUCAUGGCUUAAAUCUAUAUGGCCCCUGGAUUGGACUGCGGCCGAUCAGGCUGUUGGUGAGGUAAUGGCCCACCAAACCUGUAACCGGUACGGGCUCUGAGAGGAGGAGCCCGGAGAUGGGCACUUAGACAAGGGCCCAGGCCCUAUGGGGCGCAGCAGGCGCGAAACCUCUGCAAUAAGCGAAAGCUUGACAGGGUUACUCUGAGUGAUUUCCGCUAAGGAAGUCUUUUGGCACCUCUAAAAAUGGUGCAGAAUAAGGGGUGGGCAAGUCUGGUGUCAGCCGCCGCGGUAAUACCAGCACCCCGAGUGGUCGGGACGAUUAUUGGGCCUAAAGCAUCCGUAGCCGGUCCUGCAAGUCCUCCGUUAAAUCCACCCGCUCAACGGUUGGGCCGCGGGGGAUACUACAGGGCUAGGAGGCGGGAGAGGCAAGCGGUACUCGAUGGGUAGGGGUAAAAUCCACUGAUCCAUUGAAGACCACCAGUGGCGAAGGCGGCUUGCCAGAACGCGCUCGACGGUGAGGGAUGAAAGCUGGGGGAGCAAACCGGAUUAGAUACCCGGGUAGUCCCAGCUGUAAACGAUGCAGACUCGGUGAUGGGCUGGCUUCGUGCCAACCCGGUGCCGCAGGGAAGCCGUUAAGUCUGCCGCCUGGGGAGUACGGUCGCAAGACUGAAACUUAAAGGAAUUGGCGGGGGAGCA